RNAcentral lists this ribosomal RNA (305 nucleotides) under uncultured bacterium. RNAcentral describes it as "bacterial SSU rRNA". It matches the Rfam family "Bacterial small subunit ribosomal RNA", at positions 334 to 655 of the family's 1533-position model. The record is from RNAcentral.
CUUUCCUACGGGACGCAGCAGUGGGGAAUAUUGCACAAUGGGGGAAACCCUGAUGCAGCAACGCCGCGUGAAGGAAGACGGUUUUCGGAUUGUAAACUUCUGUUCUUAGUGAAGAAGAAUGACGGUAGCUAAGGAGCAAGCCACGGCUAACUACGUGCCAGCAGCCGCGGUAAUACGUAGGUGGCAAGCGUUGUCCGGAAUUACUGGGUGUAAAGGGAGCGCAGGCGGGAAGCCCAGUCAGCUGUGAAAACUACGGGCUUAACUUGUAGACUGCAGUUGAAACUGGUUUUCUUUAGGGAAGUAGG